Molecule: ribosomal RNA, 253 nt
Filed under: uncultured bacterium
Lineage: Bacteria
Description: partial 16S ribosomal RNA
Rfam family: Bacterial small subunit ribosomal RNA
Source: RNAcentral
UACGGAGGGUGCAAGCGUUGCUCGGAAUCACUGGGCGUAAAGCGCUCGCAGGCGGCCUGUCAAGUCAGGUGUGAAAUCCCAGGGCUCAACCCUGGAACUGCACUUGAAACUGGCAAGCUAGAGUACGAGAGAGGGGAGCGGAAUUCCUGGUGUAGAGGUGAAAUUCGUAGAUAUCAGGAGGAACACCCGUGGCGAAAGCGGCUCCCUGGCUCGAUACUGACGCUCAUGAGCGAAAGCGUGGGUAGCAAACAGG